UACGGAGGAUACAAGCGUUAUCCGGAAUUAUUGGGCGUAAAGCGUCCGCAGGUGGCACUUCAAGUCUGUCGUCAAAGACCGGGGCUUAACCCUGGAAAGGCGAUGGAAACUGAAAGGCUAGAGAGAGGUAGGGGUAGAGGGAAUUCCCAGUGUAGCGGUGAAAUGCGUAGAGAUUGGGAAGAACAUCGGUGGCGAAAGCGCUCUACUGGACCUCAUCUGACACUCAGGGACGAAAGCUAGGGGAGCGAAUGGG
Molecule: ribosomal RNA, 253 nt
Filed under: uncultured bacterium
Lineage: Bacteria
Description: partial 16S ribosomal RNA
Rfam family: Bacterial small subunit ribosomal RNA
Source: RNAcentral